Molecule: unclassified non-coding RNA, 314 nt
Filed under: plant metagenome
Description: partial contains 5.8S ribosomal RNA, internal transcribed spacer 2, and large subunit ribosomal RNA
Rfam family: 5.8S ribosomal RNA (bases 1-105)
Source: RNAcentral
GAAAUGCGAUAAUUAAUGUGAAUUGCAGAAUUCAGUGAAUCAUCGAGUCUUUGAACGCACAUUGCGCCCCCUGGUAUUCCGGGGGGCAUGUCUGUCCGAGCGUCAUUGCUGCCCUCAAGCACGGCUUGUGUGUUGGGCUUCCGUCCCUGGCAACGGGGACGGGCCCAAAAGGCAGUGGCGGCACCAUGUCUGGUCCUCGAGCGUAUGGGGCUUUGUCACCCGCUCCCGUAGGUCCAGCUGGCAGCUAGCCUCGCAACCAAUCUUUUUAACCAGGUUGACCUCGGAUCAGGUAGGGAUACCCGCUGAACUUAAGC